RNAcentral lists this ribosomal RNA (253 nucleotides) under uncultured Coprococcus sp. Its description in RNAcentral is "partial 16S ribosomal RNA". It matches the Rfam family "Bacterial small subunit ribosomal RNA", at positions 524 to 776 of the family's 1533-position model. Lineage: Bacteria; Bacillati; Bacillota; Clostridia; Lachnospirales; Lachnospiraceae. The record is from RNAcentral.
UACGAAGGGUGCAAGCGUUGUUCGGAUUUACUGGGUGUAAAGGGAGCGUAGGCGGCGAUGCAAGUCAGAAGUGAAAGCCCGGGGCUCAACUCCGGGACUGCUUUUGAAACUGUGUUGCUAGAUUGCAGGAGAGGUAAGUGGAAUUCCUAGUGUAGCGGUGAAAUGCGUAGAUAUUAGGAGGAACACCAGUGGCGAAGGCGGCCUGCUGGGCUUUUACUGACGCUGAGGCUCGAAAGCGUGGGUAGCAAACAGG